This 81-nucleotide ribozyme is filed under the name unclassified sequences. RNAcentral's name for it is "pistol ribozyme". It matches the Rfam family "Pistol ribozyme". The record is from RNAcentral.
ACUCGGCUAGGCGAGUAUAAAUAGCCGUCAGGCCUAGCGCGUCCAAGCCUAGCCCCUUCUGGGGCUGGGCGAAGGGUCGGG